ACUGGAAUGGGUUGCCAUGCCCUCCUCCAGGGGAUCCUCCUGACCCAGGGGUUGAACCCGUGUCUCCUGCAUUGUAGGUGAAUUCUUUACUGACUGAGCCACCAGGGAAGCCCCACAUAUACAUGUAUACAUAAUAAAGGAUAUAGAAAUAAGAAUGAAGAAAAAUAUAUAUAUAUGUCUGAAUCAUUUUUCUGUACACCCGAAACUGAAACAGCAUUGUAAAUUAACUACACUUCAAUAAAAGUUAAAUAUAAAUAAUUUUUAAUAAAACAUAAAGCUCAGAGUGGCAAAUCCUAUAGACAUUUCACCCACAUAAAGUAAUUACAGAUCACUAUCCAAACACACAACAAUUGAGCCUCAAAAUGCUGGUUCUUCAGUUCAUAUGGAUUUUACUUUCUGUUGACCAUAUAUUUGUUUUCUUAAAGUAAAAACAACCUUUUAUAUAAGUUCACCAAGAUUUAUUCAAUACAGUAAGUCCCCUACAUACAAACCUUCAGCUUGCAAACUUUCAAAGAUGCGAAUGUAUGUCUGGUUCUAGCAAGGAGCCAGAACCUGUGCCAUCACCCUCAGGCAUGGGUGAAACUGCAGCUUGCCCCUCCCUCUUCUAUUGCUGAUGACCCUCCAGCUCUAUCGUCUCCCACCUCCUCCCUCUCCUCCAGUCUGUAACUCUUCUCACCUGUUCACUCAUGCCAGUCCUUGUAUGCCAGCUGCUGCAGUGUGCUGAGUACUGUACUGUAAGAUUAAAAAUGUUUUCCUUUUUGUUUCUUAGGUUUUUAUAUAUUAUUUAUAUGAAAAGUAUUAUAAAUCUAUUACAGUACAGUACUAUGUAGCUGGUCGUGUGAGUUGGGUACCCAGGCUAACCCUGUUGGACUUAUGAACACUUGGACUUAUGAACCCCCUCAGAAUGGAACUCAUUCGUAUGUAGGGGACUUACUGUAACAGAUUGCUUCCUGGGGUUGUUUAAAGCCAUACAAGCUGGGCAUUCUCUUCUCUUGAGCAUC
RNAcentral lists this long non-coding RNA (1001 nucleotides) under Capra hircus (goat). Its description in RNAcentral is "lncRNA (ENSCHIG00010025786.1)". The record is from RNAcentral. Lineage: Eukaryota; Metazoa; Chordata; Mammalia; Artiodactyla; Bovidae.